UGGGGAAUUUUGGACAAUGGGCGAAAGCCUGAUCCAGCCAUGCCGCGUGAGUGACGAAGGCCUUAGGGUUGUAAAACUCUUUCGUCGGGGACGAUAAUGACGGUACCCGAAGAAGAAGCUCCGGCUAACUUCGUGCCAGCAGUCGCGGUAAUACGAAGGGAGCUAGCGUUGUUCGGAAUCACUGGGCGUAAAGCGCACGUAGGCGGAUAGUUAAGUCAGGGGUGAAAUCCUGGGGCUCAACCCCAGAACUGCCUUUGAUACUGGCUGUCUCGAGGUCGAGAGAGGUUGGUGGAAUUCCUAGUGUAGAGGUGAAAUUCGUAGAUAUUAGGAAGAACACCAGUGGCGAAGGCGGCCAACUGGCUCGAUACUGACGCUGAGGUGCGAAAGCGUGGGGAGCAAACAGGAUUAGAUACCCCAGUAGUCCCUGAGCGGGCUGGCAAGGCGCAU
Molecule: ribosomal RNA, 447 nt
Filed under: uncultured bacterium
Lineage: Bacteria
Description: bacterial SSU rRNA
Rfam family: Bacterial small subunit ribosomal RNA
Source: RNAcentral